RNAcentral lists this ribosomal RNA (398 nucleotides) under uncultured bacterium. RNAcentral's name for it is "bacterial SSU rRNA". It matches the Rfam family "Bacterial small subunit ribosomal RNA", at positions 358 to 773 of the family's 1533-position model. The record is from RNAcentral.
GGAAUAUUGGACAAUGGGCGAAAGCCUGAUCCAGCCAUGCCGCGUGAGUGAUGAAGGCCCUAGGGUUGUAAAGCUCUUUCACCGGUGAAGAUAAUGACGGUAACCGGAGAAGAAGCCCCGGCUACCUUCGUGCCAGCAGCCGCGGUAAUACGAAGGGGGCUAGCGUUGUUCGGAUUUACUGGGCGUAAAGCGCACGUAGGCGGAUUGGUCAGUUAGGGGUGAAAUCCCGGAGCUCAACUCCGGAACUGCCUUUAAUACUGCCAGUCUAGAGUCCGGAAGAGGUGAGUGGAACUCCUAGUGUAGAGGUGGAAUUCGUAGAUAUUAGGAAGAACACCAGUGGCGAAGGCGGCUCACUGGUCCGGUACUGACGCUGAGGUGCGAAAGCGUGGGGAGCAAAC